GGAAGAGCCAGCCGAUCGGCGACGGCACUCGCUUGCUAAGCGAACGAGCGGCACGAGCCGCCUUGUGGGUCCGACUCCCACCUCUUCCG
RNAcentral lists this transfer RNA (89 nucleotides) under Planctomycetota bacterium. RNAcentral's name for it is "Planctomycetes bacterium (soil metagenome) tRNA-Ser". It matches the Rfam family "tRNA". From Rfam's summary of the family: Transfer RNA (tRNA) molecules are approximately 80 nucleotides in length. Their secondary structure includes four short double-helical elements and three loops (D, anti-codon, and T loops). Lineage: Bacteria; Pseudomonadati; Planctomycetota. The record is from RNAcentral.